CUCCCUACUGAGACCCAGUAGCAGCACUCACGGGUUGGUGAGACCCAGAGCAGCACUCACGGGUUGGUGAGACCCAGAGCAGCACUCACGGCAUGUGGUCUCCUCUCCAGCUCCCAUCAACCCCCAGGAGAAGAUGAAGGGAGCUCUGAGUCUCUCAGGCGGAAGGUAAGGAAGAGAGAGAUUAAGGAGGAGAGACAUGGAAAGGAGAGGAUUAUGUCAUAUCAGAAGUGUUCCCUUGAUGUACCUUCAUACAGGAACAGUUGGUGUUCACUUUUAUUAUGUCCCCCUCUCCAAAAUGGAGAUCAAAAUAUGAAUCCGGAAUCAUUACAGAUAUGUGUGAGAC
RNAcentral lists this long non-coding RNA (343 nucleotides) under Salmo trutta (river trout). Its description in RNAcentral is "lncRNA (ENSSTUG00000008280.1)". Lineage: Eukaryota; Metazoa; Chordata; Actinopteri; Salmoniformes; Salmonidae. The record is from RNAcentral.